AUCCAGCUUACGAGUCCCUAAAAGGAUGAAACACGUGUCGUGGAU
Non-coding RNA from Schistosoma mattheei, 45 nucleotides. Lineage: Eukaryota; Metazoa; Platyhelminthes; Trematoda; Strigeidida; Schistosomatidae. The record is from Rfam.